UAAAGAUUCAUCGGCUGCGGAUGGCCAUGCGGCGCAUUAGCUAGUCGGCGGGGUAACGGCCCACCGAGGCGACGAUGCGUAGGGGUUCUGAGAGGAAGGUCCCCCACACUGGUACUGAGACACGGACCAGACUCCUACGGGAGGCAGCAGUGAGGAAUAUUGGUCAAUGGCCGGGAGGCUGAACCAGCCAAGUCGCGUGAGGGAAGACGGCCCUACGGGUUGUAAACCUCUUUUGUCAGGGAGCAAGGGGCGGGUCGAGACCUGCUGUGAGAGUACCUGAAGAAAAAGCAUCGGCUAACUCCGUGCCAGCAGCCGCGGUAAUACAGAGGAUGCGAGCGUUAUCCGGAUUUAUUGGGUUUAAAGGGUGCGCAGGCGGAGGCACAAGUCAGCGGUAAAAUCGCGGGGCUCAACCCCGCUCCGCCGUUGAAACUGUGUCCCUUGAGUGCGCGAAGGGUAGGCGGAAUGCGUGGUGUAGCGGUGAAAUGCAUAGAUAUCACGCAGAACUCCGAUCGCGAAGGCAGCCUACCGGCGCGCGACUGACGCUCAUGCACGAAAGCGUGGGUAUCGAACAGGAUUAGAUACCCUGGUAGUCCACGCAGUAAACGAUGAAUGCUAUCUGUCCGGCCGGAAUGACGGCUGG
This 640-nucleotide ribosomal RNA is filed under the name uncultured bacterium. RNAcentral describes it as "bacterial SSU rRNA". It matches the Rfam family "Bacterial small subunit ribosomal RNA", at positions 202 to 842 of the family's 1533-position model. The record is from RNAcentral.